UUAGUAUACAGUUUAUAUACCGUUGUUAUAAAAUAUUUUAUAAGAAUAAAAAUAUUUAAGAAUUUUAAUAAAAAAAUAUAUCAGAUCAAGGUGUAACUUAUGUUUAAGAAGAAAUGGGUUACAAUAAAUUUAUUUAUAAUGGAUAUAAAAUUGAAAGUUUUUAUUAAAAUUGGAUUUAAUUGUAAAAU
RNAcentral lists this ribosomal RNA (188 nucleotides) under Glossina morsitans centralis. RNAcentral's name for it is "partial 12S ribosomal RNA". The record is from RNAcentral. Lineage: Eukaryota; Metazoa; Arthropoda; Insecta; Diptera; Glossinidae.